GGGCCCGUAGCUCAGAACGGUAGAGCGGCAGGCUCUUAACCUGUUGGUCGGGGGUUCGAUUCCCCCCGGGCCCG
Molecule: non-coding RNA, 74 nt
Organism: Candidatus Bathyarchaeota archaeon B24
Lineage: Archaea; Thermoproteati; Candidatus Bathyarchaeota
Source: Rfam